AAGGCCUACGGGACGCAGCAGUUAGGAAUAUUCGUCAAUGGGGGAAACCCUGAACGAGCAAUGCCGCGUGAACGAUGACGGUCCUCUGGAUUGUAAAGUUCUGUUGUUUGGGAAGAACGGCUCUAAUAGGAAAUGAUUAGAGAUUGACUGUACCAUUCAAGAAAGCCACGGCUAACUACGUGCCAGCAGCCGCGGUAAUACGUAGGUGGCGAGCGUUAUCCGGAUUUAUUGGGUUUAAAGGGAGCGUAGAUGGGUUGUUAAGUCAGUUGUGAAAGUCCGCGGCUCAACCGUGGAAUUGCAGUUGA
Molecule: ribosomal RNA, 305 nt
Filed under: uncultured bacterium
Lineage: Bacteria
Description: bacterial SSU rRNA
Rfam family: Bacterial small subunit ribosomal RNA
Source: RNAcentral